Molecule: microRNA precursor, 106 nt
Filed under: Canis lupus familiaris (dog)
Lineage: Eukaryota; Metazoa; Chordata; Mammalia; Carnivora; Canidae
Also listed under: 1 other name
Description: mir-8834 microRNA precursor family
Rfam family: mir-8834 microRNA precursor family
Source: Rfam by way of RNAcentral
AGGAGGAACAACCACGGUGGCGGUGGCCAGCUCUGGAGCCCUGGAUUCAGCCCCCGUAGGAACUCCGGAGCUCUCCGCCUGCAGGGCCUGGAGGCUCUGGGGCAGG